This 197-nucleotide non-coding RNA is filed under the name Vibrio sp. Lineage: Bacteria; Pseudomonadati; Pseudomonadota; Gammaproteobacteria; Vibrionales; Vibrionaceae. The record is from RNAcentral.
UAGUAUGCGCUUCAAGCUGGUGCUAUCUGGAAGUAUAGAUGGCUGAAAAGGGAAUCCGGUGUGAAUCCGGAACUGACGCGCAGCGGUAAUAGAGAACGAAAGCUUAAUAAGACACUGCACUAGGAAUCGUGUGGGAAGUCGAGUGAGUAGGUUAACAGCUCUUGAGUCCGAAUACCUGCCAGCAGCUAGGCCUUGUA